GGAUAACUACCCUUUAGGACCGGGAUAACCUUGGGAAACUGAGGAUAAUACUGGAUAGGCAAUUAUUCCUGCAAUGGGUUUUUGUUUAAAUGUUUUUUCGCCUAAGGAUGGGUCUGCGGCCGAUUAGGUAGUUGGUUAGGUAAUGGCUUACCAAGCCGUUGAUCGGUACGGGUUGUGAGAGCAAGAGCCCGGAGAUGGAACCUGAGACAAGGUUCCAGGCCCUACGGGGUGCAGCAGGCGCGAAACCUCCGCAAUGUGAGAAAUCGCGACGGGGGGAUCCCAAGUGCCAUUCUUAACGGGAUGGCUUUUCAUUAGUGUAAAGAGCUUUUGGAAUAAGGGCUGGGCAAGACCGGUGCCAGCCGCCGCGGUAACACCGGCAGCUCUAGUGGUAGCAGUUUUUAUUGGGCCUAAAGCGUCCGUAGCCGGUUUAAUAAGUCUCUGGUGAAAUCCUGUAGCUUAACUGUGGGAAUUGCUGGAGAUACUAUUAGACUUGAGACCGGGAGAGGUUAGAGGUACUCCCAGGGUAGAGGUGAAAUUCUGUAAUCCUGGGAGGACCGCCUGUUGCGAAGGCGUCUAACUGGAACGGUUCUGACGGUGAGGGACGAAAGUUAGGGGCGCGAACCGGAUUAGAUACCCGGGUAGUCCUAACCGUAAACGAUGCGGACUUGGUGUUGGGGUGGCUUUGAGCUGCUCCAGUGCCGAAGGGAAGCUGUUAAGUCCGCCGCCUGGGAAGUACGG
This 738-nucleotide ribosomal RNA is filed under the name uncultured archaeon. RNAcentral describes it as "bacterial SSU rRNA". It matches the Rfam family "Archaeal small subunit ribosomal RNA", at positions 102 to 840 of the family's 1478-position model. The record is from RNAcentral.